This 433-nucleotide ribosomal RNA is filed under the name uncultured bacterium. RNAcentral describes it as "partial 16S ribosomal RNA". It matches the Rfam family "Bacterial small subunit ribosomal RNA", at positions 29 to 507 of the family's 1533-position model. The record is from RNAcentral.
AACGAACGCUGGCGGCAUGCCUAACACAUGCAAGUCGAACGAGACCUUCGGGUCUAGUGGCGCACGGGUGCGUAACGCGUGGGAACCUGCCCUUAGGUUCGGAAUAACUCCCCGAAAGGGGUGCUAAUACCGGAUAAUGUCUUCGGACCAAAGAUUUAUCGCCUUUGGAUGGGCCCGCGUUGGAUUAGCUAGUUGGUAGGGUAAAAGCCUACCAAGGCGACGAUCCAUAGCUGGUCUGAGAGGAUGAUCAGCCACACUGGGACUGAGACACGGCCCAGACUCCUACGGGAGGCAGCAGUGGGGAAUAUUAGAAAAGGGGCGAGAGCCUGAUCCAGCAAUGCCGCGUGAAUGAUGAAGGCCUUAGGGUUGUAAAGCUCUUUUACCCGGGAGGAUAAUGACAGUACCGGGAGGAUAAGCUCCGGCUAACUCCGUU